CCUCGCCCCGCCCGCCCGCUCCCAGCACCCCACGAAAACUACCCCAGAACUCUCAAAAAAGCAAAGCAUGUGAUUAGCUCCUCUCUCCCGCACGGCCCUCCACCGUUCUUUCCAUUCCCCACGCUAUUCCCCACGCGAUUACCUCCAAUCAAUCAAUCAAGCGAUUAACUGCGUAUUCCCCAAAAACCAGUACAAACAUGCCUAUUCCCACCCUCCCCUGCGAUUAUCUCCAGACUGGAUUACGACCUCAAGGUUUUUUCUCGCGCACACACACCGAUCGACGCGCCGCCACCUCCCCAGCCGCCGCCUGAGGAACUGCGCCUCCAGAGUUUGAAGUGCCGCCGCCGUCUCCACGGGAAUCAUCACUGCCGCCUCAUGGAAUUACCAAUCGACGCUGCCGGCUCACUCUAUGCGUCCAGAACCUCCAGGAAUCGAGCCGUCCAAAACGUGUUCGAGGAAAUGCCUCAAGGGUGUUGUGUUCACAAGAAACCCGGUGCGGGACGCCCAUGUGGAUGAAUUUUCUGGUCAGCAAUUUGUAUGUUUGCUUUGGAGUUGCAUCCAUUGGAACGGAAGAUUUUUAGACGUUGCCGGUCAUAUCAGAAUUCAAAGGCUUUUCCAUCCAACCAUCUGCAGGGUAUGUUGAACCGGACUGUAAGAUUAUUAGAAGCAAGAAAAAAACAUGUGUCCUGAAGAAGGUAUUCACAGGUUGAACUUCCCAAAAAACCGAGGCAUAUUAACGUAGCCUUUUUUGUUGAGAUAGUAACUAUUUAUAUCCCAAUUUUUUAUUUUCCGUACUCGCAAUGAACUGUUACAUCAGAAGAAUUCCACAUUACAUAUGUCCUAUGUAUUUAUGCGGCAUAUUUUUUUGUGACAGUAAAUUGAAGGCAAGACAGAAGAGCAUUCAAAAAGUCUUCUUAAAUUGGCCAUUCAUAGUUUUGAUUUAUAGGAUGUUUGCCCUAUAUAUUUUUUGGAAAUAUAUAGGUUGUUUGCUCUACAAUGAUUUGUAAUAGUUCUUUGAUCUGUAGUCUUACCGAGAAAUCAAUUCAUUCGUAGGAAUACUUCUGACGUUACAUGCUAAAUCUCCAGUACAUUGACCACAUAUAGGAUGGCAAGAGUUGCGAAGAAAAACAUGUUGCUUACAGGGAUUGCAGCUAUGUUGUGGGGCAUUUUCAAAAUGAAUGGCCUCAUGAACCAGAACCAGUUGGGAUUAUUCUCUCUAAAAUGCACAAGAGCUGCUUCGGUGGGGUCGCAAGACUUCUUCAACAUCAGGGCCGCAAAAAAGUGAUGGGCGCCAUGGAUCCCAAGCCUCCAACUCUAGAGGAUGUGGAGAAGGAUAUGAUGGUUCAAGGUGGGCUAAGAGGUUUCAGUUUAUUUGAGCUGCUUUUGUUUUCUGAGAACUGCAACGUGUUGUUGCAAAAAGUCUUUUUCUUGUCGGUCUGUUGCGGUCUCUUUGGUCUGUUUGUGGCUAUCAGUAGAUUUUAAGCUUGGAGGUAGUCGCCGAGUCAUUUCAAGUCAAGGUGGAGUUUUAAUGUCUUGAAAUAUCAUUGUGAUAUUUUGUAUACGCUUGAAUUUUUACAUGGAUUAUGUGCGGUACUUGAUUUCA
Long non-coding RNA from Brachypodium distachyon (stiff brome), 1603 nucleotides. RefSeq lists it as uncharacterized. The record is from RefSeq and is a predicted model, not a curated record. Lineage: Eukaryota; Viridiplantae; Streptophyta; Magnoliopsida; Poales; Poaceae. The transcript is spliced from 4 exons.